This is a non-coding RNA of Peromyscus maniculatus bairdii (prairie deer mouse), 383 nucleotides long. The record is from RefSeq and is a predicted model, not a curated record. NCBI's taxonomy places the organism in Eukaryota, Metazoa, Chordata, Mammalia, Rodentia, Cricetidae.
GGGGUCUGCAUUAAGGAUCUCCUGACCGAGUCUAGAGUAACAGGAUGUGAGCCUAGGGUCUCAUGCUGAGGUCAGAAGCAGCGUAGGGAUCAGUCCAGGGACUUCCACCUUGGAAAACCAGCCUCACAUGCAUGCGAAGGUCUAGAGUCGUCACACAUACCACCUGAGCUCACGUUGCAGGCACCUUGCACGUCUGGCCUACCUUGUUGAACCGAGAUCCCAUCUGCAGCUGACAGGGGCUGCCCCUCCCUGUACCAGAGUGCAGGUUCUGAUGAAGCAAAGAAAACAGGGCCCAGCCUCCUCCCGCAGGAAGAACUUCUUAUGCGCCUAAGAACCUAGAGCUGUGUCUUACCCAGGACCUCUACACUGAAGUUCCUCUGUGC